RNAcentral lists this long non-coding RNA (340 nucleotides) under Phoenix dactylifera (date palm). RNAcentral describes it as "long non-coding RNA (PDAC_LNC006486)". Lineage: Eukaryota; Viridiplantae; Streptophyta; Magnoliopsida; Arecales; Arecaceae. The record is from RNAcentral.
GCGGAGCUGCUGCGACGGCGGAGGCGGACUGCGACGGUGGUAGGAGGGGUUGGGCGGCGCGGUGGAGGCAGACACCGAAGAAAGAAGGGGAUGGUGGCUUCGGCCGGUGGAGCGGAAGCGGCGAAGGGUGGGCGGCGCGCGGCGGAGCUCGGCGGCGGCACGGGUGGAGCGGCGCUCAAGGGCGGCGGCGCGGCGUGCGGCCGGAGAAGACGAACAGAGGUAGGUUUUUUUUUUCUCUUUUUUUAACUCAGACCCGUUAGGAUUCGGGUUAACGGGUUUGACCCGCUCCGAAAACCCAUUAAGGGUCCAUCACGUGCAAGUCACAUGCGUAGCUUUUUUU